AGGGCACCACCAGGAGUGGAGCCUGCGGCUUAAUUUGACUCAACACGGGGAAACUCACCCGGCCCGGACACCGGAAGGAUUGACGGAUUGAUAGCUCUUUCUUGAUUCGGUGGAUGGUGGUGCAUGGCCGUUCUUAGUUGGUGGAGCGAUCUGUCUGGUUAAUUCCGAUAACGAACGAGACUCUAGCCUAUUAAAUAGACGUCGGGUUCUCUGCACUCGACGGUCUUCUUAGAGGGACAAGGUGCUUUUAGCACCGCGAAACAGAGCAAUAACAGGUCUGUGAUGCCCUUAGAUGUCCGGGGCCGCACGCGCGCUACACUGAAGGAAGCAGCGUGUAACAACCUUGUUCUAACGAACUGGGUAACCCGUGGAACUUCCUUCAUGAUUGGGAUAGGGGUUUGCAAUUGUGCCCCUUGAACGAGGAAUUCCCAGUAAACACUAGUCAUCAGCUAGUGCUGAUUACGUCCCUGCCCUUUGUACACACCGCCCGUCGCUACUACCGAUUUGAAUGGUUUAGUG
Molecule: ribosomal RNA, 519 nt
Filed under: uncultured eukaryote
Lineage: Eukaryota
Description: SSU rRNA
Rfam family: Eukaryotic small subunit ribosomal RNA
Source: RNAcentral